RNAcentral lists this ribosomal RNA (790 nucleotides) under Staphylococcus aureus. Its description in RNAcentral is "bacterial SSU rRNA". It matches the Rfam family "Bacterial small subunit ribosomal RNA", at positions 1 to 772 of the family's 1533-position model. The record is from RNAcentral. Lineage: Bacteria; Bacillati; Bacillota; Bacilli; Caryophanales; Staphylococcaceae.
UUUUAUGGAGAGUUUGAUCCUGGCUCAGGAUGAACGCUGGCGGCGUGCCUAAUACAUGCAAGUCGAGCGAACGGACGAGAAGCUUGCUUCUCUGAUGUUAGCGGCGGACGGGUGAGUAACACGUGGAUAACCUACCUAUAAGACUGGGAUAACUUCGGGAAACCGGAGCUAAUACCGGAUAAUAUUUUGAACCGCAUGGUUCAAAAGUAAAAGACGGUCUUGCUGUCACUUAUAGAUGGAUCCGCGCUGCAUUAGCUAGUUGGUAAGGUAACGGCUUACCAAGGCAACGAUGCAUAGCCGACCUGAGAGGGUGAUCGGCCACACUGGAACUGAGACACGGUCCAGACUCCUACGGGAGGCAGCAGUAGGGAAUCUUCCGCAAUGGGCGAAAGCCUGACGGAGCAACGCCGCGUGAGUGAUGAAGGUCUUCGGAUCGUAAAACUCUGUUAUUAGGGAAGAACAUAUGUGUAAGUAACUGUGCACAUCUUGACGGUACCUAAUCAGAAAGCCACGGCUAACUACGUGCCAGCAGCCGCGGUAAUACGUAGGUGGCAAGCGUUAUCCGGAAUUAUUGGGCGUAAAGCGCGCGUAGGCGGUUUUUUAAGUCUGAUGUGAAAGCCMACGGCUCAACCGUGGAGGGKCAUUGGAAACUGGAAAACUUGAGUGCAGAAGAGGAAAGUGGAAUUCCAUGUGUAGCGGKGAAAUGCGCAGAGAUAUGGAGGAACACCAGUGGCGAAGGCGACUUUCUGGUCUGUAACUGACGCUGAUGUGCGAAAGCGUGGGGAUCAAA